GAAAAAAGGGGUAACUCAUCCGUCUAAUAAGGCUACGAACGUGAAGACGCAUAUACUAAUCCUGUAACAGAUUUCCUAAGUCUUCUAGAAACCCUGCAUUUAAAGGGUUUGUGGAGGGAGUGGCAUCACCCCAGUUCAGAGGUUCCCAGCCAGGAGAUCAAGAACUACCUGUAAUCUCUUUCUUCUCCAUCCUUCUCUUUUCUGUCCCCCUGCUUAGGUCCAGCUCUCACCUGCCUCCCAUUGGUCUCUCUCCUCAGCCUCCGAUUUCCCUCCCCUCAAACCCAGCAAUCUCAAACACGAAUCAGCUAAUCUUACGAUAUUUCUAAAAUGGUGCAGCCGCUAUGGAAAAACAAUUUGGCAGCUCUUCAAAAAGUUAAACACGGAGUUACCAUAUGACCCAACAAUUCCACUCCUAGGUAUAUACUGUGUUUGGUUUCUAUAUGACAUUUUCCAUAAUAAAAAGAAAAACGAAAACAAAAAUAAAACUUCAUCUGCCCUGCCGGUCCUCCAAAAUAAAGUUCAGGUUCCUUAACCGCCUGCCAUUUAUAGCCCCCUUUGGAAUCUGGCUCCAGCCCAUCUCUUCCAGCCUCACCUCCAACGUCCUCUUUCCCCGACACGAUGCAAAUACACAAUCCUUCACACUCCA
Molecule: non-coding RNA, 646 nt
Organism: Equus caballus (horse)
Lineage: Eukaryota; Metazoa; Chordata; Mammalia; Perissodactyla; Equidae
Source: RefSeq, a predicted model, not a curated record